AGAGACUUAGUUUAUGAUAAAUGUAAGGUUGUCAACUUUAAGAAGCCUCUGGCAGUCUCUU
RNAcentral lists this transfer RNA (61 nucleotides) under Artemia franciscana. RNAcentral's name for it is "tRNA-Asp". RNAcentral also lists the same sequence under 1 other name. Lineage: Eukaryota; Metazoa; Arthropoda; Branchiopoda; Anostraca; Artemiidae. The record is from RNAcentral.